RNAcentral lists this ribosomal RNA (440 nucleotides) under uncultured bacterium. RNAcentral describes it as "partial 16S ribosomal RNA". It matches the Rfam family "Bacterial small subunit ribosomal RNA", at positions 338 to 795 of the family's 1533-position model. The record is from RNAcentral.
CCUACGGGAGGCAGCAGUAGGGAAUAUUGCUCAAUGGGGGAAACCCUGAAGCAGCAACGCCGCGUGGAGGAUGAAGGUUUUCGGAUUGUAAACUCCUUUUGUUAGAGAAGAUAAUGACGGUAUCUAACGAAUAAGCACCGGCUAACUCCGUGCCAGCAGCCGCGGUAAUACGGAGGGUGCAAGCGUUACUCGGAAUCACUGGGCGUAAAGAGCGCGUAGGCGGGAUAGCAAGUCAGAUGUGAAAUCCUAGGGCUUAACCAUAGAACUGCAUUUGAAACUGUUAUUCUAGAGUAUGGGAGGGGUAGGUGGAAUUCUUGGUGUAGGGGUAAAAUCCGUAGAGAUCAAGAGGAAUACUCAUUGCGAAGGCGACCUGCUAGAACAUAACUGACGCUGAUGCGCGAAAGCGUGGGGAGCAAACAGGAUUAGAUACCCCAGUAGUC